GACGAACGCUGGCGGCGUGCUUAACACAUGCAAGUCGAACGGAAAGGCCCUGCUUUUGUGGGGUGCUCGAGUGGCGAACGGGUGAGUAACACGUGAGUAACCUGCCCUUGACUUUGGGAUAAAUUCAGGAAACUGGGGCUAAUACCCGGUAUGAGCUCUUGCAGCAUGGGGGGGGUUGGAAAGUUUCGGCCGUGUGGGCUGGACUCGCGGCUUAUGAGCUGCUUGGGGGAGUAGUGGCUGUCAAAGUCUUUGACGGGUAGGCCGCCUGGGAGGGUGGCCGGCCUCCUUGCGCCUACGAUACGGACCAGACUCCUACGGGCCGCAGCAGUGGAGAAUAUUGCGCAAUGGGCCGACGCCUGAUGCAGAAACGCCGCGUGCGGGAUGCCGGCCUUCGGGUUGUAAACCACUUUCGCAUGUGCCGAGGCGUGAGUGACGGUACUGGGUAAAAAAGCACCGGCUAACUACGUG
RNAcentral lists this ribosomal RNA (468 nucleotides) under uncultured bacterium. Its description in RNAcentral is "partial 16S ribosomal RNA". It matches the Rfam family "Bacterial small subunit ribosomal RNA", at positions 28 to 507 of the family's 1533-position model. The record is from RNAcentral.